RNAcentral lists this unclassified non-coding RNA (257 nucleotides) under Dothiora sp. Its description in RNAcentral is "partial internal transcribed spacer region". The stretch from base 1 to 46 matches the Rfam family "Eukaryotic small subunit ribosomal RNA", at positions 1786 to 1831 of the family's 1831-position model. Lineage: Eukaryota; Fungi; Ascomycota; Dothideomycetes; Dothideales; Dothioraceae. The record is from RNAcentral.
AAGUCGUAACAAGGUUUCCGUAGGUGAACCUGCGGAAGGAUCAUUAAAGAGUAAGGGUCUCCGGCCCGAACCUCCAACCCUCUGUCGUUAUAACUACUUCGUUGCUUUGGCGGGACCGCGAAGGUUCUCCCGAGCGCGCCGGUCUCCGGACAGGCGAGCGCCCGCCAGAGUCUAACCAAACUCUUGUUUUAAACCAGUCGUCUGAGUAUAAAAUUUUAAUUAAAUUAAAACUUUCAACAACGGAUCUCUUGGUUCUC